GAUGUAGAACGUAGCGAAAUGCGAUAAGUAAUGCGAAUUGCAGAAUCCGUGAGUCAUCGAAUCUUUGAACGCACAUUGCGCCCUUUGGUAUUCCGAAGGGCAUGCCUGUUCGAGCGUCAUUAUCACCACUCAAGCCCGGCUUGCUGUUGGUGGCAGCGCAGCCGGUCAACCGGCUACGCUCCACCCAAAGAUAAUGACGGCGUCUGCGAGGACUCCUGUACAUUGAGCUUUCGGGCACGUACAUGGCUAGAAGUCCAGGCGCCGGUCGACGUCCUCCGGGACACUUUUUACCAAGGUUGACCUCGGAUCAGGUAGGGAUACCCGCUGAACUUAAGCAUAUCAAUAAGCGGAGGA
This 354-nucleotide unclassified non-coding RNA is filed under the name soil metagenome. RNAcentral's name for it is "partial contains 5.8S ribosomal RNA, internal transcribed spacer 2, and large subunit ribosomal RNA". The stretch from base 1 to 119 matches the Rfam family "5.8S ribosomal RNA", at positions 35 to 154 of the family's 154-position model. The record is from RNAcentral.